UGCAAGUCGAACGAAGGCUUCGGCCUUAGUGGCGCACGGGUGCGUAACGCGUGGGAAUCUGCCCUUUGGUUCGGAAUAACAGCUGGAAACGGCUGCUAAUACCGGAUGAUGUCGAUGAGACCAAAGAUUUAUCGCCAGAGGAUGAGCCCGCGUUGGAUUAGGUAGUUGGUGGGGUAAAGGCCUACCAAGCCGACGAUCCAUAGCUGGUCUGAGAGGAUGAUCAGCCACACUGGGACUGAGACACGGCCCAGACUCCUACGGGAGGCAGCAGUGGGGAAUAUUGGACAAUGGGCGAAAGCCUGAUCCAGCAAUGCCGCGUGAGUGAUGAAGGCCCUAGGGUUGUAAAGCUCUUUUACCCGGGAAGAUAAUGACUGUACCGGGAGAAUAAGCCCCGGCUAACUCCGUGCCAGCAGCCGCGGUAAUACGGAGGGGGCUAGCGUUGUUCGGAAUUACUGGGCGUAAAGCGCACGUAGGCGGCUUUGUAAGUCAGAGGUGAAAGCCUGGAGCUCAACUCCAGAACUGCCUUUGAGACUGCAUCGCUUGAAUCCAGGAGAGGUCAGUGGAAUUCCGAGUGUAGAGGUGAAAUUCGUAGAUAUUCGGAAGAACACCAGUGGCGAAGGCGGCUGACUG
RNAcentral lists this ribosomal RNA (630 nucleotides) under uncultured bacterium. Its description in RNAcentral is "bacterial SSU rRNA". It matches the Rfam family "Bacterial small subunit ribosomal RNA", at positions 56 to 731 of the family's 1533-position model. The record is from RNAcentral.